This 468-nucleotide ribosomal RNA is filed under the name uncultured bacterium. RNAcentral describes it as "partial 16S ribosomal RNA". It matches the Rfam family "Bacterial small subunit ribosomal RNA", at positions 28 to 507 of the family's 1533-position model. The record is from RNAcentral.
GACGAACGCUGGCGGCGUGCUUAACACAUGCAAGUCGAACGGAAAGGCCCUGCUUUUGUGGGGUGCUCGAGUGGCGAACGGGUGAGUAACACGUGAGUAACCUGCCCUUGACUGUGGGAUAACUUCAGGAAACUGGGGCUAAUACCGGAUAGGAGCUCCUGCUGCAUGGGGGGGGUUGGAAAGUUUCGGCGGUUGUGGAUGGACGCGCGGCUUAUCAGCUGGUUGGUGGGGUAGUGGCUUACCAAGGCUUUGACUGGUAGCCGGCCUGGGAGGGUGACCGGCCACAUUGGGACUGAGGUACGGCCCAGACUCCUACGGGAGGCAGCAGUGGGGAAUAUUGCACAAUGGGCGGAAGCCUGAUGCAGCAGCGCCGCGUGCGGGAUGACGGCCUUCGGGUUGUAAACCGCUUUCGCCUGUGACGAAGCGUGAGUGACGGUAAUGGGUAAAGAAGCACCGGCUAACUACGUG